RNAcentral lists this ribosomal RNA (502 nucleotides) under uncultured Glomeromycotina. RNAcentral describes it as "partial small subunit ribosomal RNA". It matches the Rfam family "Eukaryotic small subunit ribosomal RNA", at positions 591 to 1092 of the family's 1831-position model. The record is from RNAcentral. Lineage: Eukaryota; Fungi; Glomeromycota.
CCAAUAGCGUAUAUUAAAGUUGUUGCAGUUAAAAAGCUCGUAGUUGAAUUUCGGGGUCUGUCCGUCGGUCGGGCUUCACGGUCCGUACUGGUGUGAUGGGUUCCUACCUUCUGAAUAACCGGCAUGCCAUUCAGUUGGUGCGCCGGGGAAGCAGAGCUAUUACCUUGAAAAAAUUAGAGUGCUUAAAGCAGGCUAGUGCUUGAAUAGAUUAGCAUGGAAUAAUAAAAUAGGACGGCAUGGUUCUAUUUUGUUGGUUUCUAGGAUCACCGUAAUGAUUAAUAGGGAUAGUUGGGGGCAUUAGUAUUCAAUUGUCAGAGGUGAAAUUCUUGGAUUUAUUGAAGACUAACUUCUGCGAAAGCAUUUGCCAAGGAUGUUUUCAUUAAUCAAGAACGAAAGUUAGGGGAUCGAAGACGAUCAGAUACCGUCGUAGUCUUAACCAUAAACUAUGCCGACUAGGGAUCGGACGAUGUUAAUUUUUUAAUGACUCGUUCGGCGCCUUACG